This 70-nucleotide transfer RNA is filed under the name Sphaerodactylus townsendi. RNAcentral's name for it is "tRNA-Ser". It matches the Rfam family "tRNA". Rfam says of the family: Transfer RNA (tRNA) molecules are approximately 80 nucleotides in length. Their secondary structure includes four short double-helical elements and three loops (D, anti-codon, and T loops). Further hydrogen bonds mediate the characteristic L-shaped molecular structure. tRNAs have two regions of fundamental functional importance: the anti-codon, which is responsible for specific mRNA codon recognition, and the 3' end, to which the tRNAs corresponding amino acid is attached (by aminoacyl-tRNA synthetases). tRNAs cope with the degeneracy of the genetic code in two manners: having more than one tRNA (with a specific anti-codon) for a particular amino acid; and 'wobble' base-pairing, i.e. permitting non-standard base-pairing at the 3rd anti-codon position. Lineage: Eukaryota; Metazoa; Chordata; Lepidosauria; Squamata; Sphaerodactylidae. The record is from RNAcentral.
GGGGCUGUGGCUCAGUGGUAGAGCAUCUGGUUGGAAUACAGAAGAUCUUGCUCAAUCCUUGGCAUCUUCA